Molecule: ribosomal RNA, 1370 nt
Filed under: uncultured bacterium
Lineage: Bacteria
Description: bacterial SSU rRNA
Rfam family: Bacterial small subunit ribosomal RNA
Source: RNAcentral
UGCAGUCGAACGGUGAAGCCAAGCUUGCUUGGUGGAUCAGUGGCGAACGGGUGAGUAACACGUGAGCAACCUGCCCUGGACUCUGGGAUAAGCGCUGGAAACGGCGUCUAAUACUGGAUAUGAGCUCCUUCCGCAUGGUGGGGGUUGGAAAGAUUUUUCGGUCUGGGAUGGGCUCGCGGCCUAUCAGCUUGUUGGUGAGGUAAUGGCUCACCAAGGCGUCGACGGGUAGCCGGCCUGAGAGGGUGACCGGCCACACUGGGACUGAGACACGGCCCAGACUCCUACGGGAGGCAGCAGUGGGGAAUAUUGCACAAUGGGCGGAAGCCUGAUGCAGCAACGCCGCGUGAGGGAUGACGGCCUUCGGGUUGUAAACCUCUUUUAGCAGGGAAGAAGCGAAAGUGACGGUACCUGCAGAAAAAGCGCCGGCUAACUACGUGCCAGCAGCCGCGGUAAUACGUAGGGCGCAAGCGUUAUCCGGAAUUAUUGGGCGUAAAGAGCUCGUAGGCGGUUUGUCGCGUCUGCUGUGAAAUCCCGAGGCUCAACCUCGGGCCUGCAGUGGGUACGGGCAGACUAGAGUGCGGUAGGGGAGAUUGGAAUUCCUGGUGUAGCGGUGGAAUGCGCAGAUAUCAGGAGGAACACCGAUGGCGAAGGCAGAUCUCUGGGCCGUAACUGACGCUGAGGAGCGAAAGGGUGGGGAGCAAACAGGCUUAGAUACCCUGGUAGUCCACCCCGUAAACGUUGGGAACUAGUUGUGGGGACCAUUCCACGGUUUCCGUGACGCAGCUAACGCAUUAAGUUCCCCGCCUGGGGAGUACGGCCGCAAGGCUAAAACUCAAAGGAAUUGACGGGGACCCGCACAAGCGGCGGAGCAUGCGGAUUAAUUCGAUGCAACGCGAAGAACCUUACCAAGGCUUGACAUAUACGAGAACGGGCCAGAAAUGGUCAACUCUUUGGACACUCGUAAACAGGUGGUGCAUGGUUGUCGUCAGCUCGUGUCGUGAGAUGUUGGGUUAAGUCCCGCAACGAGCGCAACCCUCGUUCUAUGUUGCCAGCACGUAAUGGUGGGAACUCAUGGGAUACUGCCGGGGUCAACUCGGAGGAAGGUGGGGAUGACGUCAAAUCAUCAUGCCCCUUAUGUCUUGGGCUUCACGCAUGCUACAAUGGCCGGUACAAAGGGCUGCAAUACCGUAAGGUGGAGCGAAUCCCAAAAAGCCGGUCCCAGUUCGGAUUGAGGUCUGCAACUCGACCUCAUGAAGUCGGAGUCGCUAGUAAUCGCAGAUCAGCAACGCUGCGGUGAAUACGUUCCCGGGUCUUGUACACACCGCCCGUCAAGUCAUGAAAGUCGGUAACACCUGAAGCCGGUGGCCCAA